Molecule: ribosomal RNA, 301 nt
Filed under: uncultured bacterium
Lineage: Bacteria
Description: partial 16S ribosomal RNA
Rfam family: Bacterial small subunit ribosomal RNA
Source: RNAcentral
CAGUCGCCGCGGUAAUACGUAGGUCCCGAGCGUUGUCCGGAUUUAUUGGGCGUAAAGCGAGCGCAGGCGGUUAGAUAAGUCUGAAGUUGAAGGCUGUGGCUUAACCAUAGUACGCUUUGGAAACUGUUUAACUUGAGUGCAAGAGGGGAGAGUGGAAUUCCAUGUGUAGCGGUGAAAUGCGUAGAUAUGUGGAGGAACACCGGUGGCGAAAGCGGCUCUCUGGCUUGUAACUGACGCUGAGGCUCGAAAGCGUGGGGAGCAAACAGGAUUAGAUACCCCAGUAGUCCCUGUCUCUUAUACA